UUCAUUCAUAUUUCUUUCUCUUCAUUGCAGAAUAUAAAACAAAGAAAAGAAGAAAACAUAAAGCUAGGGUUCGUACACUUCCAAGCUUAAUUCAAGAUCAAGAACCAAGAAAAUCGAAGUUGGACCGGGGAAAAACGAAGGUGGUCGACUAGCCGUUCCGUUUUGUUUUAUAUCGUCCUAGGUAAUAAGUAUAAUUGUACUGUUAUAUAAGUAAUUAAAUGUAAAAUUUAUAUGCUGGUUUGAGAAAUAUAAAAUUUAUAUGUAAAACUGAUUUGAUGAAAUUUAACAUCAAGUGUACGAGAAAUAAAGUGACGACACAAGUGUACGAUACGUCACAAGACUUUAGCACUAAGUGUGCGAUGAUAUUAAUGUAACGGCACUAAGUGUGCAAUACGUUACUGAUAUAUGGCAAUGGGUGUGUGAGGUUGACGAUUUUUUUUUA
Long non-coding RNA from Gossypium arboreum, 442 nucleotides. RefSeq lists it as uncharacterized. The record is from RefSeq and is a predicted model, not a curated record. The transcript is spliced from 2 exons. NCBI's taxonomy places the organism in Eukaryota, Viridiplantae, Streptophyta, Magnoliopsida, Malvales, Malvaceae.